AUAUCCAGCACGGUUCUAUUACUUUUAGAGGUUGAUUUUACCUGCCAGGUACCAUGAGUGCAUGGCAAGGCUGCCGAAGGAAAAGAUAUUGGCAAGAGAAGACAAGCCAUGGAUCAUCCCAAAUUUUUUGUUCAAUGCAGCGAGAGCAGGAUUUGUUUUAGCCACUUGAAUAUUCUUCGACCAUCCUACUUCCUCGCCAAUGCUAAGAUCUUUUUCAAUCUUGUGUCGCUUCUUCAUCAUCUCCACGGUCAUAGGGGUGAACACGAUGAGGUUCGACAAGUUGAAGCCGAGAGAGGCAAGGAGAAACCCCAGCUGAUACCGCUCAAUUGACGAAGCUGAGCGCCAAGGAUGAAGAUAAGCAAAAGCCGCCACCGAGACAGCGGCACA
RNAcentral lists this unclassified non-coding RNA (387 nucleotides) under Hevea brasiliensis (rubber tree). The record is from RNAcentral. Lineage: Eukaryota; Viridiplantae; Streptophyta; Magnoliopsida; Malpighiales; Euphorbiaceae.